AAAGCACGCAUAUACACACUCUGCAUAUUCGAAAUCGGCAAUCAGCUGUGACAACAUGGCGGGCAUGCUGUUUAUCGCUCGGUCGACUUAAAUUAAGACACAGGGAUCCGAAAACAGAGUCAGAGCAGUUAUUCCUAUACGUCGGCAGCGUAAACGACACAUAUUGGCCUGGAUUUUUAAUAAAACGCGAGAGCUUGCCUUCAAGUGUUAUAACAACCUGUUUUUGUCGCUUGACGUUGGAUUGUCAGUGAAACUACGCCAUUGAUGUGUAGUGGAAGACAUUGCGACACGUGCAUUUUCAUCCCAUUGCAUCAUCAUACUUCAUGAUAAAGUAUCAAAACUACUUAUCGCACGAUUUUAUCCUCGUCGCAGUUAAAAAGGGACUAUUGGAUCGAUCCAAAAAUCACUGACGAUCAUAUUCGUACUUAAUUUACACUGUAUUAAAACUACAUUUGGAUUGAAACAUCUUCUUAAACGUUUGCGAGUGAAUUAAUGUAUUUGAAAAGAAUUACGCGUCCACAUGUAAACAUUAUUUUAUAAAGACAUCAAUAAGAUACAGAGCUAUACGAAAUUAGUGUAACUUGUAUUUGGGUUAAGCAUUAGGAAAUAUUGUUAUAAUUUAUUAUUUUCGUAAUACGUAUCGCUUUACUGUGUUACUGUGUAAUUGCGAACGCUCAGUACAUAAAGUACCGAGACAACAAAACGAAAUAACUGCCUUAAAUUUUCAAGAUAACUGACAGUUUGAAUGACGUAAAAACAGAAAUGUUUUAUCACUAUACUCCAACAAGUUACAUUAUGCAUUUUGUGUGUACACUAGCAUAUCUAUAAAAUCUCUUCUGCGAAGUUUCUACAUCAGUUUUCUCGAGAUCACGCGACAGAAAUUAGUACUGCCUAAAAACGAAUUUAUUAAAAGUUUACUGCAAUCUUAAAACUUUUCUAGAGUAUCUGGAAAAUUAGAUUUUUAUAUUUUCGAUAAAUUGUGAAGUUUAUCGAUUAUAAAUUUGUGCAAAUAGUGUAUUAAAAAGAGGAGUGAAGAAGAAGCGCGUUUAUUUAAAGUAAAAAGGGCCAGAAUCGAGGUGACCAAAAUGAUAAAUAAUCAGCAUUGUAUGAUUCUUAAUACUGGUGAGACCAAUAAUUAUCAUCAACCAGUCUCGGCUAAGCCUUCAGUUGUCUCGGUAUCGAGUAUUGACUCUGAUGUCAGUGACAGAAGAGAUGUACGCGAAGAAUUGUACGCUGGAAUCUUUAGGAGGCACAGAAAAACUAUAUUGAAAUAUUUGGACAGGUUGCAUGCUCUGAGCCGGAUAUAUGCAUUAAUUGCUUUAAGAUUCGAAACACAUCAAAAGUUUUGGUAAAAUCGCUGUAUUUUUCUGCAUUUCGCCAUAUAUUAUAUAACUGCAUUUUCACGUUUUAAAUAUGCGUCGUCUCACAUGUUCCAUGUUAAAAUAUUUACGUUACGUAUUACUUUUUAUGGGGUUUAAAAGUAAUGCUAAAGUUUUUGCGCUUUUAUAAUACAGACAGAUAGAGAGAGAGAGAGAGAGAGAGACAGAGAGAGACAGAGAGUAAUUUUUGUAGAAUUUAGAACAUUCUGACUAAAAAUAAAAACGAUUAUUGUUAUACAAUCCAAAACAGACCAUCAAAUCAGUCAACAUCGUAAUGUAUACUGAAAUUACUGUCUGUGUUAUUGUUAACGAGCUUAAUAUUAAUUAGAGAUACGUAAUUGAGGGCAUAUGUAACAGUAUAAGAUUUGUAUUAUAGAUAUGAACUAAUCGAAUAUCGAAUCAAUGCCUUAUUAUUCAAAAUGUUAAUGUUCUUUCUAUUUUUAUCGAUUAAUUAUUGUAAUUAAAUAAUCAUCAACAUUUGUUAAUUUGAUUAUUCUUUGUUCUAUAUCUGAAUCUUCGUACAAUUUGUGUUUUUAUAUUAGAUACUGCCAUUAGAGAAUAAAUCACGAUAAGAUUAACGAGAAUAAAUUAACGAGAGCAACUUGGAAAACAAUCGUACAUUUAACAAUUUCCUAAGGCAUAUUUAAACAAUUUUUAAAUAAUUUCUACUUAAUAAGGCAAAGGUGUUUCUCUGUAUUUAGCCGAACCACUCGUUGUUGUAAGACUGAAACAUGUGCUCUUUUGGAACAUUAAACGUGCCAUAUUAUCUUAGAAAAAAUGCUCGAUAGAAAAGAAGCAGAAUAACGAAAAAAGGAAAAUGGAUUUUUGAAUUGUUAUAAAUUUAAAUGUAAUAUGAUGUGGAAAUUCAUGCGUAUCAUUAUCGAAAAGAUUGUUUUGCUUUUGAAAUAAUCAGACUGCAAAUAAAAUGGCUGCGAAUAUUGAUCAGAGAAUCUGCAAAAUAUAAAGUUACUUAAGCGAUUGCAAUUGAGUGUGUGUGUGUGUGUGUGUAUGUAUGUAUUAGAAAUUCUUACAUAUACAUACGCAACGGUAGAAAUAUGUUAGAAAUAUUCUUCGGAACUACCAAAAUAUGCUUGGAGUCUGUAUCUUAUGACAUAGUAGUUUCCACAAACCGAAAAGAAUAAAAAAUAUUCGCGCAGCUGCUUAUGACCAAUUUUUAAGUAGUAGCAAAAAUCUGUACGUUAGCUUCGUCAGAUUAUUUGCAUAGAUUAUUUACGUAUUGUGCAACGUAAACAUUUACUAAUUGUAAGAAAUGAGACCUUUGUUGAUAAUAAAAGAAAAGGGAGCUAUAUUUCGCAUUUGAUUGUCCAGGUUCUAUGUGAUUUUUGUAAUGAGCAACUAUGUCCUAAAUGCGUUGUGUUGGAUGAGAAAAAAUUUGUAUUAUCACUUUGUAUCGUUAGAGUGUAUCACACAAGGAAUGUGUAUGUGAAACACACAAAAUAAAGUAUUCAUAUUAUGUUUAA
Unclassified non-coding RNA from Pogonomyrmex barbatus (red harvester ant), 2860 nucleotides. NCBI's taxonomy places the organism in Eukaryota, Metazoa, Arthropoda, Insecta, Hymenoptera, Formicidae. The record is from RefSeq and is a predicted model, not a curated record.